UCUUCCGUAGUAUAGUGGUCAGUAUGUGAGCUUGUCAUCUUCAGACGUCAACGCUCGAGACCCGGGUUCAAUUCCCGGCGGGAGAG
Podospora anserina is the source of this 86-nucleotide transfer RNA. It matches the Rfam family "tRNA". Rfam says of the family: Transfer RNA (tRNA) molecules are approximately 80 nucleotides in length. Their secondary structure includes four short double-helical elements and three loops (D, anti-codon, and T loops). Further hydrogen bonds mediate the characteristic L-shaped molecular structure. tRNAs have two regions of fundamental functional importance: the anti-codon, which is responsible for specific mRNA codon recognition, and the 3' end, to which the tRNAs corresponding amino acid is attached (by aminoacyl-tRNA synthetases). tRNAs cope with the degeneracy of the genetic code in two manners: having more than one tRNA (with a specific anti-codon) for a particular amino acid; and 'wobble' base-pairing, i.e. permitting non-standard base-pairing at the 3rd anti-codon position. Lineage: Eukaryota; Fungi; Ascomycota; Sordariomycetes; Sordariales; Podosporaceae. The record is from Rfam.